RNAcentral lists this ribosomal RNA (304 nucleotides) under uncultured bacterium. Its description in RNAcentral is "bacterial SSU rRNA". It matches the Rfam family "Bacterial small subunit ribosomal RNA", at positions 217 to 507 of the family's 1533-position model. The record is from RNAcentral.
AGGUAAGAGUGGGCGUGCGUGCUUAUUAGCUUAGGUUGGUGAAGGGUAACGGCUCCAACCGAAGGCCUAACGAUAGCGGUAGGGGGCGUGAGAGCGUGGCCCCCACACGGGUACUGAGACACGGACCCGACUCCUACGGGAGGCAGCAGUAAGGAAUAUUGGACAAUGGUCGAAAGACUGAUCCAGCCAUCCCGCGUGCAGGAUGACUGCCCUAUGGGUUGUAAACUGCUUUUAUAUGGGAAGAAUAGCAUAGAUUCAUCUGUGUAUGACGGUACCAUAUGAAUAAGCACCGGCUAACUCCGUG